GUAAGUAAGUGCUUAAGGGCGCAUGGUGGAUGCCUUGGCAUCGAGAGCCGAUGAAGGACGUGGGAGGCUGCGAUAUGCCUCGGGGAGCUGUCAACCGAGCGUGGAUCCGAGGAUUUCCGAAUGGGGAAACCCAGCACGAGUGAUGUCGUGUUACCCGUAUCUGAAUAUAUAGGGUGCGGGAGGGAACGCGGGGAAGUGAAACAUCUCAGUACCCGUAGGAGAAGAAAACAAUUGUGAUUCCGCAAGUAGUGGCGAGCGAACGUGGAAUAUGGCUAAACCGCACGCAUGUGUAACCAGGUAGGGGUUGUGUGUGCGGGGUUGUGGGAGUGAUACAUCUCAGUUCUACCUGGCUGAGGGGUAGUCAGAAAGUGUCGUGGUUAGCGGAAGUGGCCUGGGAUGGCCUGCCGUAGACGGUGAGAGCCCAGUACGCGAAAACCCGGCACCUACCUUGUGUCAAUUCCCGAGUAGCAGCGGGCCCGUGGAAUCUGCUGUGAAUCUGCCGGGACCACCCGGUAAGCCUAAAUACUUCUCGAUGACCGAUAGCGGAUUAGUACCGUGAGGGAAUGGUGAAAAGUACCCCGGGAGGGGAGUGAAAUAGUACCUGAAACCGUGUGCCUACAAUCCGUCAGAGCCUCCUUGUGGGGUGAUGGCGUGCCUUUUGAAGAAUGAGCCUGCGAGUCAGGGACAUGUCGCGAGGUUAACCCGUGUGGGGUAGCCGCAGCGAAAGCGAGUCUGAAUAGGGCGUAUCACGUGUGAGCGUGUGUAGUGGCAUGUUCUGGACCCGAAGCGGAGUGAUCUACCCAUGGCCAGGGUGAAGCGCGGGUAAGACCGCGUGGAGGCCCGAACCCACUUAGGUUGAAGACUGAGGGGAUGAGCUGUGGGUAGGGGUGAAAGGCCAAUCAAACUCCGUGAUAGCUGGUUCUCCCCGAAAUGCAUUUAGGUGCAGCGUUGCGUGGUUCACCACGGAGGUAGAGCUACUGGAUGGCCGAUGGGCCCUACUAGGUUACUGACGUCAGCCAAACUCCAAAUGCCGUGGUGUAGAGCGUGGCAGUGAGACGGCGGGGGAUAAGCUCCGUACGUCGAAAGGGAAACAGCCCAGAUCGCCGGCUAAGGCCCCUAAGCGUGUGCUAAGUGGAAAAGGAUGUGCAGUCGCAAAGACAACCAGGAGGUUGGCUUAGAAGCAGCCACCCUUGAAAGAGUGCGUAAUAGCUCACUGGUCAAGUGAUUGUGCGCCGAUAAUGUAGCGGGGCUCAAGCACACCGCCGAAGCCGCGGCACAUUCACGUUUACGUGGGUGUGGGUAGGGGAGCGUCCCUCAUUCAGCGAAGCCUCCGGGUAACCGGUGGUGGAGGGUGGGGGAGUGAGAAUGCAGGCAUGAGUAGCGAUAAGGCAAGUGAGAACCUUGCCCGCCGAAAGACCAAGGGUUCCUGGGCCAGGCCAGUCCGCCCAGGGUGAGUCGGGACCUAAGGCGAGGCCGACAGGCGUAGUCGAUGGACAACGGGUUGAUAUUCCCGUACCCGUGUGUGCGCGCCCGUGAUGAAUCAGCGGUACUAACCACCCAAAACCGGAUCGAUCAUUCCCCUUCGGGGGCGUGGAGGUUCGGGGCUGCGUGGGAACUUCGCUGGUAGUAGUCAAGCGAUGGGGUGACGCAGGAAGGUAGCCGUACCAGUCAGUGGUAAUACUGGGGCAAGCCCGUAGGGAGAGCGAUAGGCAAAUCCGUCGCUCAUAUAUCCUGAGAGGUGAUGCAUAGCCGAUUGAGGCAAAUUCGGUGAUCCUCUGCUGCCAAGAAAAGCCUCUAGCGAGCACACACACGGCCCGUACCCCAAACCGACACAGGUGGUCAGGUAGAGCAUACCAAGGCGUACGAGAUAACUAUGGUUAAGGAACUCGGCAAAAUACCCCCGUAACUUCGGGAGAAGGGGGGCCGGAAUAUCGUGAACACCCUUGCGGUGGGAGCGAGAUCCGGUCGCAGAAACCAGUGAGAAGCGACUGUUUACUAAAAACACAGGUCCGUGCGAAGUCGCAAGACGAUGUAUACGGACUGACGCCUGCCCGGUGCUGGAAGGUUAAGAGGACCCGUUAACUCGAAAGGGUGAAGCGGAGAAUUUAAGCCCCAGUAAACGGCGGUGGUAACUAUAACCAUCCUAAGGUAGCGAAAUUCCUUGUCGGGUAAGUUCCGACCUGCACGAAUGGCGUAACGACUUCUCAACUGUCUCAACCAUAGACUCGGCGAAAUUGCACUACGAGUAAAGAUGCUCGUUACGCGCGGCAGGACGAAAAGACCCCGGGACCUUCACUACAACUUGGUAUUGAUGUUCGGUACGGUUUGUGUAGGAUAGGUGGGAGACUGUGAAACCUCGACGCUAGUUGGGGCGGAGUCGUUGUUGAAAUACCACUCUGAUCGUAUUGGACAUCUAACGUCGAACCGUAUAUCCGGUUCACGGACAGUGCCUGGCGGGUAGUUUAACUGGGGCGGUUGCCUCCUAAAAUGUAACGGAGGCGCCCAAAGGUUCCCUCAACCUGGACGGCAAUCAGGUGGCGAGUGUAAAUGCACAAGGGAGCUUGACUGCGAGACCUACACGUCAAGCAGGGACGAAAGUCGGGAUUAGUGAUCCGGCACCUCUGAGUGGAAGGGGUGUCGCUCAACGGAUAAAAGGUACCCCGGGGAUAACAGGCUGAUCUUCCCCAAGAGUCCAUAUCGACGGGAUGGUUUGGCACCUCGAUGUCGGCUCGUCGCAUCCUGGGGCUGGAGCAGGUCCCAAGGGUUGGGCUGUUCGCCCAUUAAAGCGGCACGCGAGCUGGGUUUAGAACGUCGUGAGACAGUUCGGUCUCUAUCCGCCGCGCGCGUCAGAAACUUGAGGAAACCUGUCCCUAGUACGAGAGGACCGGGACGGACGAACCUCUGGUAUACCAGUUGUCCCACCAGGGGCACCGCUGGAUAGCCACGUUCGGACAGGAUAACCGCUGAAAGCAUCUAAGCGGGAAACCUUCUCCAAGAUCAGGUUUCUCACCCACUUGGUGGGAUAAGGCCCCCCGCAGAACACGGGAUUGAUAGGUCAGACCUAGAAGCUCAGCAAUGAGUGCAGGGAACUGGCACUAACCGGCCGAAAACUUACCAACACA
RNAcentral lists this ribosomal RNA (3122 nucleotides) under Mycobacterium haemophilum DSM 44634. RNAcentral's name for it is "bacterial LSU rRNA". It matches the Rfam family "Bacterial large subunit ribosomal RNA". The record is from RNAcentral. Lineage: Bacteria; Bacillati; Actinomycetota; Actinomycetes; Mycobacteriales; Mycobacteriaceae.